CAGUGAUCCAGCUUGUCUACAGCUUGCUUCCAUCACACCAGAGAGCAGCAGGACAAGCGGUUGGAGUUGGCACAGUGCUGCAGCCUCCUUCACAAGGCCUCCCUCAUCUGCUCCAUCCUACCUGGCUCUUAGUCUGUCUCCAAAGUGACUUUUAUCUGAAAAAAAAAGAAGAAAAGAAAAAAAAAAGAAAAAAAAUUGCCAAGUAAGCAAUAGCUGUUAUCAUUUCUGUAACAGAGGCCUAUGCUCCUGUUUGACUCCAGUGCUUAACACCUGAGAGAAACAGUCUGAGAUGGGGAUUUCACACAGAUGUAACAUUAGGACAACUAAUGGUGAAUUUACUAGGCUAACACAAUGAAAGAAUGUUAUUUAUCUGUGUGCAGUGGCUGUUUAUGAAAUAAAGUGAACAGAACUGCUACGAAAGCGUGAGAGCAUCCUGACGGAGGCAGGGCUGUGAGAUAAGAUAAAUGAAAGCACCUGAGGUGGGGUGGCUCAUUGUGACCUGGCUGUGGGCACCUGGGCUGGGGUGGUGCUGGGCCCUUCUCCUGCCCCACUGUGAGGGGUCUUGCAGGGCUUGUGGAAGAAGGGUGCUAUUUUGGAACAGGGGUUGAUAUCCUGUUUUCCUCUUGGUUUACAAAGAAAACUCAGUGUCAAGGGAACUGAAGACUGGGAUGUGCUGGGCUAAUAUAAAUUUGACCGAAGCCAAGAAUGCCCCUGGUUUGGCUCUGGAAAGAGUACUAAGCAGCCAAGGACAUUUGGAUAGCCAAAUCCAACCCAGUGCGGUGAAAUGUUUACUUCCUUUGGAAAGUCAGCUUUUCCUUACACCUCUGAAAGGGAGGGGAAACUGCAUCUUGAGUUUGUCCCUGAGACUGAAAAAUGAAAAUUUCUAAGUAUUUUUACUGAUUGUAGUACUGCGUGUAUUUUUGCCUGCAAAUCCUGAUGGGGGGAAAAGGUGUCAUCCCCACCAAAAA
This 968-nucleotide long non-coding RNA is filed under the name Anser brachyrhynchus (Pink-footed goose). RNAcentral's name for it is "lncRNA (ENSABRG00000011217.1)". Lineage: Eukaryota; Metazoa; Chordata; Aves; Anseriformes; Anatidae. The record is from RNAcentral.